Molecule: ribosomal RNA, 703 nt
Filed under: Streptomyces sp.
Lineage: Bacteria; Bacillati; Actinomycetota; Actinomycetes; Kitasatosporales; Streptomycetaceae
Description: bacterial SSU rRNA
Rfam family: Bacterial small subunit ribosomal RNA
Source: RNAcentral
GCAGUCGACGAUGAAGCCUUUCGGGGUGGAUUAGUGGCGAACGGGUGAGUAACACGUGGGCAAUCUGCCCUUCACUCUGGGACAAGCCCUGGAAACGGGGUCUAAUACCGGAUAACACUCUGUUCCGCAUGGGACGGGGUUGAAAGCUCCGGCGGUGAAGGAUGAGCCCGCGGCCUAUCAGCUUGUUGGUGGGGUAAUGGCCUACCAAGGCGACGACGGGUAGCCGGCCUGAGAGGGCGACCGGCCACACUGGGACUGAGACACGGCCCAGACUCCUACGGGAGGCAGCAGUGGGGAAUAUUGCACAAUGGGCGAAAGCCUGAUGCAGCGACGCCGCGUGAGGGAUGACGGCCUUCGGGUUGUAAACCUCUUUCAGCAGGGAAGAAGCGCAAGUGACGGUACCUGCAGAAGAAGCGCCGGCUAACUACGUGCCAGCAGCCGCGGUAAUACGUAGGGCGCAAGCGUUGUCCGGAAUUAUUGGGCGUAAAGAGCUCGUAGGCGGCUUGUCACGUCGGAUGUGAAAGCCCGGGGCUUAACCCCGGGUCUGCAUUCGAUACGGGCUAGCUAGAGUGUGGUAGGGGAGAUCGGAAUUCCUGGUGUAGCGGUGAAAUGCGCAGAUAUCAGGAGGAACACCGGUGGCGAAGGCGGAUCUCUGGGCCAUUACUGACGCUGAGGAGCGAAAGCGUGGGGAGCGAACAGGAUU